This 253-nucleotide ribosomal RNA is filed under the name uncultured bacterium. RNAcentral's name for it is "partial 16S ribosomal RNA". It matches the Rfam family "Bacterial small subunit ribosomal RNA", at positions 524 to 776 of the family's 1533-position model. The record is from RNAcentral.
UACGGAGGGGGCAAGCGUUAUUCGGAAUUAUUGGGCGUAAAGGGCGCGUAGGCGGCUAGAUGUGUCAAAGGUGAAAUCCCUCGGCUCAACUGAGGAACUGCCUUUGAAACUGUCUGGCUUGAGGCCGGGAGAGGGUAGCGGAAUUCCCAGUGUAGAGGUGAAAUUCGUAGAUAUCAGGAGGAAUACCGGUGGUGUAGACGGCUCUCUGGACCGCGACUGACGCUGAGACACGAAAGCGUGGGUAGCAAACAGG